UUUUGCGCAAUGGGGGAAACCCUGACGCAGCAACGCCGCGUGCGGGAUGACGGCCUUCGGGUUGUAAACCGCUUUCAGUAGGGAAGAACAUCGACGGUACCUACAAAAGAAGCCCCGGCUAACAACGUUCCAGCAGCCGCGGUAAUACGUAGGGGGCAAGCGUUAUCCGGAUUCAUUGGGCGUAAAGCGCGCGUAGGCGGUUGCCUAAGCGGGACCUCUAAUCUUAGGGCUCAACCUUAAGCCGGGUCCCGAACUGGGUGACUUGAGUGCGGUAGAGGAAAGUGGAAUUCCCGGUGUAGCGGUGGAAUGCGCAGAUAUCGGGAAGAACACCGAUGGCGAAGGCAGCUUUCUGGGCCGCCACUGACGCUGAGGCGCGAAAGCUAGGGGAGCA
This 391-nucleotide ribosomal RNA is filed under the name uncultured bacterium. RNAcentral describes it as "bacterial SSU rRNA". It matches the Rfam family "Bacterial small subunit ribosomal RNA", at positions 362 to 770 of the family's 1533-position model. The record is from RNAcentral.